RNAcentral lists this ribosomal RNA (103 nucleotides) under uncultured bacterium. RNAcentral describes it as "partial 16S ribosomal RNA". It matches the Rfam family "Bacterial small subunit ribosomal RNA", at positions 1384 to 1482 of the family's 1533-position model. The record is from RNAcentral.
UACACACCGCCCGUCACACCAUGGGAGGUUUGGCUUUACCUGAAGGCGGUGCGCUAACCCGCAAGGGAGGCAGCCGACCACGGUAGGGUCAGCGACUGGGGUG